GGUUUCCGUAGGUGACCUGCGGAGGAUCUUACAGUAGUCCCCGGGUUGCCGCAAGGCCUCUCGGGUAACCUACCACCCUUUGUUUAUUACACUUUGUUGCUUUGGCAGGCCUGCCUUCGGGCUGCUGGCUCCGGCCGGCGAGCGCUUGCCAGAGGAUCUAAACUCUGUUUGUCUAUACUGUCUGAGUACUAUAUAAUAGUUAAAACUUUCAACAACGGAUCUCUUGGUUCUGGCAUCGAUGAAGAACGCAGCGAAAUGCGAUAAGUAAUGUGAAUUGCAGAAUUCAGUGAAUCAUCGAAUCUUUGAACGCACAUUGCGCCCCCUGGUAUUCCGGGGGGCAUGCCUGUCCGAGCGUCAUUACAACCCUCAAGCUCUGCUUGGUGUUGGGCCCCGCCGCCCCGGCGGGCCCUAAAGUCAGUGGCGGUGCCAUCCGGCUCCGAGCGUAGUAAUUCUUCUCGCUCUGGAGGUCCGGUUGUGUGCUUGCCAUCAACCCCCAAUUUUUUUCAGGUUGACCUCGGAUCAGGUAGGGAUACCCGCUGAACUUAAGCAUAUCAAUAA
This 558-nucleotide ribosomal RNA is filed under the name Pseudogymnoascus sp. APA-2015. RNAcentral describes it as "eukaryotic LSU rRNA". The stretch from base 204 to 357 matches the Rfam family "5.8S ribosomal RNA". Lineage: Eukaryota; Fungi; Ascomycota; Leotiomycetes; Thelebolales; Thelebolaceae. The record is from RNAcentral.